Molecule: unclassified non-coding RNA, 201 nt
Filed under: uncultured fungus
Lineage: Eukaryota; Fungi
Description: sequence contains ITS1, 5.8S rRNA gene
Rfam family: 5.8S ribosomal RNA (bases 153-201)
Source: RNAcentral
UCUCCGUUGGUGAACCAGCGGUGGGAUCAUUACUGAGUUUACAACUCCCAAACCCUUUGUGAACAUACCUUUUUGUUGCUUCGGCGGGCUCGCCCGUCGAAGGACCGAAACUCUUGAAUCAUUGCUGUCUGAGUAUGAUUUUUAAUCGUUAAAACUUUCAACAACGGAUCUCUUGGUUCCAGCAUCGAUGAAGAACGCAGC